This 657-nucleotide ribosomal RNA is filed under the name uncultured organism. Its description in RNAcentral is "SSU rRNA". It matches the Rfam family "Bacterial small subunit ribosomal RNA", at positions 74 to 744 of the family's 1533-position model. The record is from RNAcentral.
CCGGCUUUUGUGGGGUGCUCGAGUGGCGAACGGGUGAGUAACACGUGAGUAACCUGCCCUUGACUUUGGGAUAACUUCAGGAAACUGGGGCUAAUACCGGAUAGGAGCUCCUGCUGCAUGGUGGGGGUUGGAAAGUUUCGGCGGUUGGGGAUGGACUCGCGGCUUAUCAGCUUGUUGGUGGGGUAGUGGCUUACCAAGGCUUUGACGGGUAGCCGGCCUGAGAGGGUGACCGGCCACAUUGGGACUGAGAUACGGCCCAGACUCCUACGGGAGGCAGCAGUGGGGAAUAUUGCACAAUGGGCGGAAGCCUGAUGCAGCAACGCCGCGUGCGGGAUGACGGCCUUCGGGUUGUAAACCGCUUUCGCCUGUGACGAAGCGUGAGUGACGGUAAUGGGUAAAGAAGCACCGGCUAACUACGUGCCAGCAGCCGCGGUGAUACGUAGGGUGCGAGCGUUGUCCGGAUUUAUUGGGCGUAAAGGGCUCGUAGGUGGUUGAUCGCGUCCGAAGUGUAAUCUUGGGGCUUAACCCUGAGCGUGCUUUCGAUACGGGUUGACUUGAGGAAGGUAGGGGAGAAUGGAAUUCCUGGUGGAGCGGUGGAAUGCGCAGAUAUCAGGAGGAACACCAGUGGCGAAGGCGGUUCUCUGGGCCUUUCCUGAC